Molecule: long non-coding RNA, 2568 nt
Filed under: Salmo salar (Atlantic salmon)
Lineage: Eukaryota; Metazoa; Chordata; Actinopteri; Salmoniformes; Salmonidae
Description: lncRNA (ENSSSAG00000083457.1)
Source: RNAcentral
GUAUUUUUCCUUCAUUCAUGUGUUUAAUCUGAUACUGUUAUAGCUCCGGCUAAACUGUUUAUGUAUGUAAGCACUUCAGAGUUAUACCAAGUGUCACGUUGCGUCAAUUCGAAUCUGGUAUUAGGAUAUAAACAACCCAUGCAACUUAGUUUUGCAAUGAUUAUUUAAUUCAUAAAUAGAAUGAUAGUACAAAUGGAAAAUGUGAUGUUCGUAUACGGUCUCGCUGUGACACCACGCAGGGCAGACAGAGAAGAGCGCGUCACAUUCUAUUGUUCUCUCUUUUUAUACUCUGACGGUGAUAGUUCCCGCCCAAUGCUGGCCUGUCAGAGGGAGGAGGAGCGUGGUUUAAACUUGCUCCUCCUGUCGUCGGCGUGCAGGCUGAUCCCAGCGUCGUGACGCACUUCCUGUUGCCGGUUGUAGUUCUUCUUGUCUUCAACAGUUAAUUUACCCGUAGUUUAUAUACUUAAUAUUGUAGCAUAGCUUCCCCGGUAUAUUAUUUAAGUUAUGCAUACAAAUAGCCAGUUCAACCCUAACACAAGCUAAUAAGUCACUCAUAAGACAAGAAGGUUGUAAGAGUGUGCUGUAUUUUCAUUUACUUUAUAGUGAUAGGUGAUAAUUCUGACUAAAGCUACAGAAUAAAGCCGCAGGUUAAAAUCAAGGAACGGUUGUGCUCGUGGUUACUGGAGGGAGCUACAACAGUUGUGAAUCUGAUGCAGCCGAAGAGCUACUGCCCCUUUACCCGGGAAAGCACCGAACAACAGACAUGAACGUUAGACCAUCGAAGAGGCGCAAAUAUGAUGAGAACUACAUUGAUUUUGGGUUCACUUAUAUUGGGAGUAGUGCCUUUCCUCAGUCACAGUGUUAUGUGCAAAAGUACCAUCUCACAACUCGAUCACACCUUCUCUCUUGCGCAGACAUUUAGAAACAAAACAACAACAACAACAAAACAGCAAUUGGCAUGCUGACUGCAGGAAUAUCCACCGGACCUGUUGCCAGAGAACUGAAUAUUAAUUUAUCUACCAUAAGUCGCCUCCAACGUUGUGUUAGAGAAUUUGGCAGUACAUCCAACCGCAGACCACUUAUAACAAUGUCAGCCCAGGAGGUCCACAUCGUCUGAGACCAGCCACCUGGACAGCUGAUGAAACUGAGGAGUAUUUCUCUCUAUAAUAAAGCCAUUUUGUGGGGAAAAAUGAAUUAUGAUUGGCUGGGCUGGGUAAUGCCCUCCCAGGACCACCAAUGGCUGCCCCCCUGUCAAGUCAAGUGAAGUCCAUAGAUUAGGGCCUAAUGAAUUUAUUUACAUUGACUUAUUUUCUUAUUUGAACUGUAAAUCGUAGAAAUUGUUGCAUGUUGCGUUUAUAUUUGUGUUCAAUAUAUAUACAGUGCCUUCGGAAAGUAUUCAGACUCUUUGACUUUGUCCAAAUUUUGUUAGGUUACAGCCUUAUUCUAAAAUUGAUUAAAUCAUUUUUUCCCCCUCAUCAGUCUACACACAGGACCCCAUAAUGACAAAGCAAAAACAUAAGACAUUUUUGCUAAUUUACUAAAAAUAACAAACUGAAAUAUCACAUUUACAUAAGUAUUCAGACCCUUUACUCAGUACUUUGCUGAAUCACCUUUAGCAGCGAUUACAGCCUAGUCGUCUUGGGUAUUUGCGGAGUUUCUCCCAUUCUUCUCUGCAGAUCCCCUCAAGCUGUCAGGUUGGAUGGGGAGCGUCGCUACACAGGAUAAGCAAUGGAAGCAUGAUGAACAGGUUGGAUGGGGAGCGUCGCCACACAGGAUAAUCAAUGGAAGCAUGAUGAACAGGUUGGAUGGGGAGCAUCGCUACACAGGAUAAUCAAUGGAAGCAUGAUGAACAGGUUGGAUGGGGAGCAUCGCUACACAGGAUAAUCAAUGGAAGCAUGAUGAACAGGUUGGAUGGGGAGCAUCGCUACACAGGAUAAUCAAUGGAAGCAUGAUGAACAGCUCAGUUUCGAGUCUCAUAGCAAAGGAUCUGAAUACUUUCUAUUUUUUAAUACAUUUGCAAAUGUAACCGAUGUGAAAUGGCUAGUUAGUUAGCGGUGGUGCGUGCUAAUAGCGUUUCAAUCAGUGACGUCACUCGCUCUGAGACUUGAAGUGGUUGUUCCCCUUGCGUUGUAAGGGCCGCGGCUUUUGUGGCGCGAUGGGUAACGUUGCUUCGUGGGUGUCAGUUGUUGAUGUGUGCAAGGGUCCCUGGUUCGAGCCCGGGUUGGGACGAAGAGAGGGACGGAACCUACACUGUUACACAAACAUUUCUAAAAUCCUGUUUGCUUUAUCAUUAAGGAAUAUUGUGUGUAGAUUGAUGAGCAAUAUUAUUUUUUUUAAUCCAUUUUAGAAUCAGGCUGUAACUUAACAUAAUACGGAAAAAGUCAAGGGUUCUGAAUACUUUCCGAAGGCGCCAUAUAUAGUGUAUAUAAUAAUGUAUAUAGUGUAUAUAAUAAUGUGUAUAGUGUAUAUAAUAAUGUAUAUAGUGCAUAUAAUGUGUAUAGUGUAUAUAAUAAUGUAUAUAGUGUAUAUAAUAAUGUGUAUAUAAGUGUAUAUAAUAAUGUAUAUAGU